Oncorhynchus tshawytscha (Chinook salmon) is the source of this 734-nucleotide long non-coding RNA. RefSeq lists it as uncharacterized. The record is from RefSeq and is a predicted model, not a curated record. The transcript is spliced from 2 exons. NCBI's taxonomy places the organism in Eukaryota, Metazoa, Chordata, Actinopteri, Salmoniformes, Salmonidae.
GAGGGGGUAGAAACAGGGACAGAGAAAGAGGAGGGAUAGCAACAGAAAGAGAGUGUGAGAGAAUGAGAGCUGGCGGCAUCAUUGAUGUAAUCCAGACCAGAGCUGCGGAGCCACAUUAAAUGAGUUGAUUGAGCAAUGACAACCCACCAGACUCAGAACUACCUGGCAACAGAACUCCUCUCAUCUUCGACGGAUGACUCACACUAUGUCAUCAACACUAUUCACCAAAUGGAACGGUGUGUGUGUUCUGGACUAACUGCAAUGGCACCAAAUGGAACAUCCAAACCUGAUGAGCUGAACACUAUUACAUUAAGCUGGACUCUGCUAGGGGGAUCCAGAGCAGGUUUUCUGCUAUCAUCGUCAUUAUUAUGAUUUUGCCAGGAUUUCAGAGAUCCAUUGCUUCAUAUCAUUGCUAUGACAUCAUUGCAUGAUACCUCGCAAUUUCUUCUGACUGAGCAAUUAUGACAGAAGGAUCCAUUUGAAUAUCCUUUGAUAGCAUGAGUCAUGGUCGAAAUCCUUUGGAUGUAAAUAUUCCUACACUCGUUAUGUUCUUCCGAAUCAGUCAGUUUAAGAAUCAUCAGAUGAUCCAGGUUGGAUGUGAUUGGUAAAAGAUGAGUGAACCACAUUGUAACACCUGUAGCAGUUGUGUCUUGUGUCCCUGACAUGUAAAUCCUCUAAAUCAUCAACAGAGGUCAGUGUUUCUACCUAGAAUAAAGCAGAUUUAAAAAACUGCA